UCCAGGCCCUACGGGGCGCAGCAGGCGCGAAACCUCCGCAAUGUGAGAAAUCGCGACGGGGGGACCCCAAGUGCCAUUCUUAACGGGAUGGCUUUUCUUAAGUGUAAAAAGCUUUUGGAAUAAGAGCUGGGCAAGACCGGUGCCAGCCGCCGCGGUAACACCGGCAGCUCUAGUGGUGGCCAGUUUUAUUGGGCCUAAAGCGUUCGUAGCCGGUUUAUUAAGUCUCUGGUGAAAUCCCGUAGCUUAACUAUGGGAAUUGCUGGAGAUACUAGUAGACUUGAGGUCGGGAGAGGUUAGAGGUACUCCCAGGGUAGGGGUGAAAUCCUGUAAUCCUGGGAGGACCACCUGUGGCGAAGGCGUCUAACUGGAACGAACCUGACGGUGAGGGACGAAAGCUAGGGGCGCGAACCGGAUUAGAUACCCGGGUAGUCCUAGCCGUAAACGAUGCGGACUUGGUGUUAGGAUGGCUUUGAGCCGCUCUAGUGCCGAAGGGAA
Molecule: ribosomal RNA, 495 nt
Filed under: uncultured archaeon
Lineage: Archaea
Description: bacterial SSU rRNA
Rfam family: Archaeal small subunit ribosomal RNA
Source: RNAcentral